GAGGGUAUAGCCCAAGUGGUAGAGCACAUGCUUAGCAUGCAGGAGGUUCUGGGUUCAAGUCUCAGUAUCUCCU
RNAcentral lists this transfer RNA (73 nucleotides) under Camelus bactrianus (Bactrian camel). It matches the Rfam family "tRNA". From Rfam's summary of the family: Transfer RNA (tRNA) molecules are approximately 80 nucleotides in length. Their secondary structure includes four short double-helical elements and three loops (D, anti-codon, and T loops). RNAcentral also lists the same sequence under 2 other names. Lineage: Eukaryota; Metazoa; Chordata; Mammalia; Artiodactyla; Camelidae. The record is from Rfam by way of RNAcentral.